Molecule: transfer RNA, 90 nt
Filed under: Coprothermobacter proteolyticus DSM 5265
Lineage: Bacteria; Pseudomonadati; Coprothermobacterota; Coprothermobacteria; Coprothermobacterales; Coprothermobacteraceae
Description: tRNA-Ser
Rfam family: tRNA
About the family: Transfer RNA (tRNA) molecules are approximately 80 nucleotides in length. Their secondary structure includes four short double-helical elements and three loops (D, anti-codon, and T loops). Further hydrogen bonds mediate the characteristic L-shaped molecular structure. tRNAs have two regions of fundamental functional importance: the anti-codon, which is responsible for specific mRNA codon recognition, and the 3' end, to which the tRNAs corresponding amino acid is attached (by aminoacyl-tRNA synthetases). tRNAs cope with the degeneracy of the genetic code in two manners: having more than one tRNA (with a specific anti-codon) for a particular amino acid; and 'wobble' base-pairing, i.e. permitting non-standard base-pairing at the 3rd anti-codon position.
Source: RNAcentral
UGGAGGGGUAGUCUAAUUGGUAAGGCACCGGACUUGAAAUCCGGCGGCCCGGAAGGGCCUUGUGGGUUCGAGUCCCACCCCCUCCGCCAA